GGGUUGUGAGGUUAAGCGACUAAGCGUACACGGUGGAUGCCCUGGCAGUCAGAGGCGAUGAAGGACGUGCUAAUCUGCGAUAAGCGUCGGUAAGGUGAUAUGAACCGUUAUAACCGGCGAUUUCCGAAUGGGGAAACCCAGUGUGAUUCGUCACACUAUCAUUAACUGAAUCCAUAGGUUAAUGAGGCGAACCGGGGGAACUGAAACAUCUAAGUACCCCGAGGAAAAGAAAUCAACCGAGAUUCCCCCAGUAGCGGCGAGCGAACGGGGAGCAGCCCAGAGCCUGAAUCAGUGUGUGUGUUAGUGGAAGCGUCUGGAAAGGCGCGCGAUACAGGGUGAUAGCCCCGUACACAAAAAUGCACAUGCUGUGAGCUCGAUGAGUAGGGCGGGACACGUGGUAUCCUGUCUGAAUAUGGGGGGACCAUCCUCCAAGGCUAAAUACUCCUGACUGACCGAUAGUGAACCAGUACCGUGAGGGAAAGGCGAAAAGAACCCCGGCGAGGGGAGUGAAAAAGAACCUGAAACCGUGUACGUACAAGCAGUGGGAGCACGCUUAGGCGUGUGACUGCGUACCUUUUGUAUAAUGGGUCAGCGACUUAUAUUCUGUAGCAAGGUUAACCGAAUAGGGGAGCCGAAGGGAAACCGAGUCUUAACUGGGCGUUAAGUUGCAGGGUAUAGACCCGAAACCCGGUGAUCUAGCCAUGGGCAGGUUGAAGGUUGGGUAACACUAACUGGAGGACCGAACCGACUAAUGUUGAAAAAUUAGCGGAUGACUUGUGGCUGGGGGUGAAAGGCCAAUCAAACCGGGAGAUAGCUGGUUCUCCCCGAAAGCUAUUUAGGUAGCGCCUCGUGAAUUCAUCUCCGGGGGUAGAGCACUGUUUCGGCAAGGGGGUCAUCCCGACUUACCAACCCGAUGCAAACUGCGAAUACCGGAGAAUGUUAUCACGGGAGACACACGGCGGGUGCUAACGUCCGUCGUGAAGAGGGAAACAACCCAGACCGCCAGCUAAGGUCCCAAAGUCAUGGUUAAGUGGGAAACGAUGUGGGAAGGCCCAGACAGCCAGGAUGUUGGCUUAGAAGCAGCCAUCAUUUAAAGAAAGCGUAAUAGCUCACUGGUCGAGUCGGCCUGCGCGGAAGAUGUAACGGGGCUAAACCAUGCACCGAAGCUGCGGCAGCGACGCUUAUGCGUUGUUGGGUAGGGGAGCGUUCUGUAAGCCUGCGAAGGUGUGCUGUGAGGCAUGCUGGAGGUAUCAGAAGUGCGAAUGCUGACAUAAGUAACGAUAAAGCGGGUGAAAAGCCCGCUCGCCGGAAGACCAAGGGUUCCUGUCCAACGUUAAUCGGGGCAGGGUGAGUCGACCCCUAAGGCGAGGCCGAAAGGCGUAGUCGAUGGGAAACAGGUUAAUAUUCCUGUACUUGGUGUUACUGCGAAGGGGGGACGGAGAAGGCUAUGUUGGCCGGGCGACGGUUGUCCCGGUUUAAGCGUGUAGGCUGGUUUUCCAGGCAAAUCCGGAAAAUCAAGGCUGAGGCGUGAUGACGAGGCACUACGGUGCUGAAGCAACAAAUGCCCUGCUUCCAGGAAAAGCCUCUAAGCAUCAGGUAACAUCAAAUCGUACCCCAAACCGACACAGGUGGUCAGGUAGAGAAUACCAAGGCGCUUGAGAGAACUCGGGUGAAGGAACUAGGCAAAAUGGUGCCGUAACUUCGGGAGAAGGCACGCUGAUAUGUAGGUGAAGUCCCUCGCGGAUGGAGCUGAAAUCAGUCGAAGAUACCAGCUGGCUGCAACUGUUUAUUAAAAACACAGCACUGUGCAAACACGAAAGUGGACGUAUACGGUGUGACGCCUGCCCGGUGCCGGAAGGUUAAUUGAUGGGGUCAGCGCAAGCGAAGCUCUUGAUCGAAGCCCCGGUAAACGGCGGCCGUAACUAUAACGGUCCUAAGGUAGCGAAAUUCCUUGUCGGGUAAGUUCCGACCUGCACGAAUGGCGUAAUGAUGGCCAGGCUGUCUCCACCCGAGACUCAGUGAAAUUGAACUCGCUGUGAAGAUGCAGUGUACCCGCGGCAAGACGGAAAGACCCCGUGAACCUUUACUAUAGCUUGACACUGAACAUUGAGCCUUGAUGUGUAGGAUAGGUGGGAGGCUUUGAAGUGUGGACGCCAGUCUGCAUGGAGCCGACCUUGAAAUACCACCCUUUAAUGUUUGAUGUUCUAACGUUGACCCGUGAUCCGGGUUGCGGACAGUGUCUGGUGGGUAGUUUGACUGGGGCGGUCUCCUCCUAAAGAGUAACGGAGGAGCACGAAGGUUGGCUAAUCCUGGUCGGACAUCAGGAGGUUAGUGCAAUGGCAUAAGCCAGCUUGACUGCGAGCGUGACGGCGCGAGCAGGUGCGAAAGCAGGUCAUAGUGAUCCGGUGGUUCUGAAUGGAAGGGCCAUCGCUCAACGGAUAAAAGGUACUCCGGGGAUAACAGGCUGAUACCGCCCAAGAGUUCAUAUCGACGGCGGUGUUUGGCACCUCGAUGUCGGCUCAUCACAUCCUGGGGCUGAAGUAGGUCCCAAGGGUAUGGCUGUUCGCCAUUUAAAGUGGUACGCGAGCUGGGUUUAGAACGUCGUGAGACAGUUCGGUCCCUAUCUGCCGUGGGCGCUGGAGAACUGAGGGGGGCUGCUCCUAGUACGAGAGGACCGGAGUGGACGCAUCACUGGUGUUCGGGUUGUCAUGCCAAUGGCACUGCCCGGUAGCUAAAUGCGGAAGAGAUAAGUGCUGAAAGCAUCUAAGCACGAAACUUGCCCCGAGAUGAGUUCUCCCUGACUCCUUGAGAGUCCUGAAGGAACGUUGAAGACGACGACGUUGAUAGGCCGGGUGUGUAAGCGCAGCGAUGCGUUGAGCUAACCGGUACUAAUGAACCGUGAGGCUUAACCUUACAACGCCGAAGGAGUUU
Molecule: ribosomal RNA, 2931 nt
Filed under: Escherichia coli
Lineage: Bacteria; Pseudomonadati; Pseudomonadota; Gammaproteobacteria; Enterobacterales; Enterobacteriaceae
Description: bacterial LSU rRNA
Rfam family: Bacterial large subunit ribosomal RNA
Source: RNAcentral